UUGCACAGAACCACAGUGGUGUAUCAGCAGCAAGAAGCAGCUGUAGUUCUUCAGGACAAGGAAUUCGCUACCCAACACUAUUUCACAGAUCUCUUCUGUUUCUAAAUCUAUUUUACAGCAGAGCAAACUGAGACACAAGAAAGUUAUCCACAGACAUUCACAAAGUUGCUGGCAGAAUUCACCUGAAGCCUGGGAAUCCUGAUGUCUGUCCCUGUAGUUAACCCAUGGCACCUCUGGUCAGUUAUCCUUUUGCUGAAUAUAGGAUUAUCCCAGGAGUAUUGAAUCUCUGUUGUGAUAAGGAUCAGCCCUGCAUAGAUCCUGAGAUCAUCUCUCCUGAGAUGGAACUGCAUGAAGACACAAUUUACUGCAAACUCUUGGCUUCUGAAACUGAAAGCAGGACCAGCGAGACAUCGGUUCUGUUAAUCUGAGAAUACUUUAAACACUUGGGGGAGAGUGGUGGCCCAAGAACCUCUGGAUCAUAACAUUCUGGUGGGAUUCCUUGGCUGGGAAAGCAGCACUUUCAACCAUCAGGGACUGUCAGCAUCUUUGGUCCCCUACACUGCUGAAGUUCCUGGUGCUCUGCCAGGCUUCCCUCCAUCUGUUGCUUGCAGAUCUUGCACUGGUCCCUCAUGGAACUGAUCAGCUUAAAUCCUGCCUGGCAAUUCUACUCAGUGAAGGGGAACAGUGAGUGAAAAAUCCUCAUUUCCCAACAGAAUUGGGAGAUAGGACACAAACACCUGUGGGACACCUAAGGCACAGACCUUGUGCCCCUGGGAAAAGAGAGAAGGGAGGGAGCAGCACUUGGCAUCUGGUGCCUCUGUGUCUGAGGGCAGCCUGACCCAGGUCAUCCUCCCCACCUUAGGCAUGAGAGGACCUGAUCCUGACCUAACUGGGACCCAGCUCUGCCAGGCUGAUGGGAGCUGGAGCCCCUCUUCCCCCCCUGUAAAAUACACACUUGCUCUAUAGGUGUCAUGGGGUAGCUGGUUUAAAACCACGACAAUAGGUCUGCCCCAUGUGUCACUGAUGUAUUUGGGAUGUACUUGUAAAAGUGCUUAAAUAAUUUUGGUUUAAAAAUUAAGUAAAUAAAAUCAAUAUGGCACAUAUUAAAGAAAAAUGCAUAGCAGCAGCAGACAGUACAUUUUAUAUGCUGACCCAAAUGCACAGACUGUCAGUUAAUGCUCUAACACUUGCAAUGUAUCAGUGUUUUCACUGAAAGGUGAGCAGCAUAUCCAAAAAUCUUAGAAAAAUUUAUAGUUCAGCAAGUUGCUUUCUGAAAAGCAGUUUGAAACCAAGCAUGCUUCAUGACCUUUAAGAAACACUUUUAAUGAAAGCAUUAAAAUGUUCAUAUAACUACUGAACAAUGAAAUACUGUAUUUAAUCCCAAUGGGUUUUUUAAAAUAUUGGCAUUUCAAUUAAUGUCUGACACACUAGUUAUCCAUUAGAAAAGGAUCAUGUAGAAAGAAUUCUAUGUUUAAUAUAACAUUAAACACUUUUGUCAAAUUAUAUCAGAAUUAUUGAAUGUUGGGUCCAAAGCGCACUGCAAGACCCCAGAAAUGAAUAACCAUCAUGUUAGGAAAUAAUCUAGAAAUAUGUUAAGUAUGUGAAAAGUAGUUUUAUAUUUUUGUUUUUCUUUUCAGUUUAGCAGUGGCCAGGUAAUGUUGCAAUAUUUGCAAACCAUCAGUCAUUUGCUUUAUAUACUUGGUUUGAGAAAAAGAAUAAUGACCUUUGUGAAUUUGUAAUAAUUGGAACUUUAAUAGUAUGACUUUCAGUUACAAAUGUUGAUUUUAUUUUUUUUUCUUUUAAUGCAGGAAUCAGGACAUCUAGAAUGUCUUUGGGGUGUAUGUAAAUUUUCCUGAUCAUUACAAAGUAACUUUUAAACUAUUUCACUGCAAUAUAAAGCCAUAAAUCCAUAGA
Parus major (Great Tit) is the source of this 1914-nucleotide long non-coding RNA. RefSeq lists it as uncharacterized. The transcript is spliced from 2 exons. The record is from RefSeq and is a predicted model, not a curated record. NCBI's taxonomy places the organism in Eukaryota, Metazoa, Chordata, Aves, Passeriformes, Paridae.